RNAcentral lists this long non-coding RNA (224 nucleotides) under Elaeis guineensis (African oil palm). RNAcentral describes it as "long non-coding RNA (EGUI_LNC006237)". The record is from RNAcentral. Lineage: Eukaryota; Viridiplantae; Streptophyta; Magnoliopsida; Arecales; Arecaceae.
UUCUUACUGAGAGUUUCGUUCUUCCCUAGCAUUCUUCUCGGCCUUAGGCAUUCUUCGAGUCGUCCCCAUCUCUACAUCUCUGCAUCCUUCAGACCAGCUUAGGUUAGUUCCAGAACUCCCUCUUUUUUUUUUGUGGCUCUGUUUCUAAGCUGUGCCGAUCUUCUUUCGUUGUAAAUAUGGACGUGGACGCGGCUUGAAUGUUAGCCAAGAGUCUCAAGGCCCAC